This is a non-coding RNA of Cordylochernes scorpioides, 88 nucleotides long. NCBI's taxonomy places the organism in Eukaryota, Metazoa, Arthropoda, Arachnida, Pseudoscorpiones, Chernetidae. The record is from the annotation of a GenBank genome assembly.
GUCCAGGGGCGGGAAUCGAACCCACAACCUUCCGCCCACCGGGCAGAUGCCUACCGGGCAGAUGCCAUGUCCACUAGGCUACCCUGGA